This is a long non-coding RNA of Piliocolobus tephrosceles (Ugandan red Colobus), 263 nucleotides long. RefSeq lists it as uncharacterized. The record is from RefSeq and is a predicted model, not a curated record. Lineage: Eukaryota; Metazoa; Chordata; Mammalia; Primates; Cercopithecidae. The transcript has 3 exons.
AAAGGAUAAACCUUCAUGUGACUCGAGGAGUGACAAGGUCCCUGGAAUGCCUAAGAAGACAUUAGGGCCCAUCUCAGGCGUCAUUUUGAUCCUCCUCAUCCUGUCUUCCCAUACUCAUUGCCAUAGCUCGUUCGACUCCAACCUUACUCACAGAAUAAGCUGAAAUUUUCUCUCCUCUCACUGGGAAGUCUCAGGUUCUUGUAAGGUACACUCGCCUCCUUAUACUAUCCCACUCACAAUUUUGGUCACUUCUCUAUUUUGAU